GUACGGGCUCUGUGUGGGGAAAGCCCCCCGAGGGCCUGAUAACGUGGCCUUGUGAUUGAUGUGAUGGGUCUCUACAGUACUAUGUGAAAGUCAGAUCAAGAAGAACCUCACUGAGAAAAGAAGCUGGACGAUGGACUGACCGCCCCAGAGUCCAGACCUCGGCACCACUGAAUGGGUUUGAUCACUUCAGGAAAUCAUCAACCAGCUUCUCAGACUGAGCUUUGGAGGCGUGUCUGCAGGUUCUUUGAGGAGCUGAAAGUGAGGCUCCUGAAAGGAAUGGAAGCUGGAAUGAAGGUUAUUCAGGGACAAUGUACAAACUUCACUGUAUCUGCAUCACUGACCAAUAAGUGUGUGUUGUUUUUAAAAAAAAAAAAGUCCCGUCUGAACUUCAAUCUCAGGAAGUGUUGACCAGGAAUUGGUGCUGGACCUUCAGCGAGGGGACUUUCCUUCAGGAGAGUGUGUGUGUGUGUGUGUGUGUGUGUGUGUGUGUAGAGCUGGGCGAUAUGACGAAGCGUAAUAUCACAAUACUUCCAGAUAUUUUUAUGAUGCGCAGUGUUUAAUUUUAUCUGGUCAGCUGGAACAGAAAGUAGUGCCAAGUUUAAAAUAUUAUUAAAAAUGAUGAGUGCAGUUAUUCUAUAGCUCUAUACAUGAUACUGAAUCACUGGCUGUGUGUGUGUGUGUGUGUGUGCGCGUGUGUGUGUGUGUGUACGUAUGUAUAACCUCUUUAAAGUGACCCACUUGUGGGCCUUUAGGGAGAACGCCCAAGUGUCCCACUCUCCGUGUGUGUGUGUGUGUGUGUGUGUGUGUGUGUCUCUGUCUGUCUGUCUGUCUGUCUGUCUGUCUGUCUGUCUGUCUGUCUGUCUGUCUGUGUAAUAGUUGUUGUCCUUCUUGGCUCUGAUCCAGAUAUUCCAGGCGUGUGUGUUUAGUGAGUUUAGUUACAAGUUUGAGUUAGUGACUGGUCAGAGUCUCUCUCUCUCUCUCUCUCUCUCUCUCUCUCUCUCUCUCUCUCUCUCUCUCUCUCUCUCUCUCUCUCUCUCUCUCUCUCUCUCUGAUCUCACAGAGGUGUGGACGCUCAGUCUGGUCUGAGCUCAGCUGAGAGCGUGUGUGUGCGUGUGUGUGUGGAGACACGGAGAUAGGGAAGCGUCCGAGUAUGGAAUUAAACUCUAAACGGAUUUUACUGUCCAGAACGGAGAUCAGGAGGAGAGUCCAGUAGCCGCCCGGAGGCUUUAAAGGUAAGACAGUUUAUUAGUUAUUGACCUGCCGGUGUUUCCAGUGUGUGGACUGAUCGGUUACGGUCUGUAAUCUUAUCAGAUUACAGGGGAAUUGGGCGUAAAUCUCUGAGCUGAUUCACUGCAAUUAUGAUUCUGUGGGAAAGGACUCAAAGAAUCGUUAUAAGAUCAAAUGAUUCGAUUUGCUUAUUUUGGUAGGAAUCAGUGACUUGUUUAAAGUACCGUGGGAUUUCAGGCGGGGGCUGGGGGGACAUGGUUACGCAGUAUUGGAAUAUACUCAGUUGUAGAAUUUAUUGA
Pygocentrus nattereri (red-bellied piranha) is the source of this 1526-nucleotide long non-coding RNA. The record is from Ensembl. NCBI's taxonomy places the organism in Eukaryota, Metazoa, Chordata, Actinopteri, Characiformes, Serrasalmidae.